GAACAUAGAUCAGCAUAUGGUAGAGCGAACCAGAUGGCUACAGACAUUCAAGGGCUCUAGGGCAGCUUUAGGCCCUGUAGGAAGUGUUCAGGGUUCCUCGGCUUAGACCAUCGUGGAGUAAAGACUGAAAGUCUGGAAGCUACCUCAGCCCUGACCGAGUAGGUGCUGAGCAUGGAAAUAAAGAAGUCAGACAAUAGACAGCAGAAUUCAUAGUAAAAUAGAUACCGCUUAACUCUUAACUUCCAGAAGAACCAGGAUUGCUGUGAAGGCCAGAGCUACAGCUCUGACAAUCUUCGGGGAAAAUUUUUUCAGUGACCUUAACCAGGAUGCAUGAACUGGGGAGAUCUGGGGUGCAGAGGAGGGGAACCUAUCUUAUAGCAGCUAGUCAUGUGUUGACUCUUUCAUACGCUAGGCACUGAGGAGAUUUGCAAUUAAAAAAAUUUAAAAAGCAGCCGGAGUGGUGGAUCUUGCCUGUAAUCCCAGCACUUUGGGAGGCCUGGAUGACAGAGCGAGACUCUGUCUCAAAACACAAACAAGCAAGCAAGCAAACAAACAAAAAACUUACAAAGUGCAAAACUUUAUAAUCUAUUUCAGGCCAUAAAAGUGCCAAUAGUAAAAAAUGCAAUUGAAUACUUUCAUUUCCUAAGCAUAGGGGAUUUUUUCUAAUUUAAUUGAUUCUCACUAUCCAAUAGGAUAACCAGUAGCCACAUUUGGUAAAUUAAGUUUAAAUUAAUUUAAUUAACAUUAAAAUUGGAUUAAUUAUACUAGGCAUAUACCAAGCGCUCCGUAUUGCUCAGCACAGAUGUAGAAUAUUUCCAUCAUCACAGAAAGUUCUAUCGGGCAGAGCUGCUAUGCAGUGAUGGUCCCUUUUAGUUACAGCCUUUAUUAAUAGCCCAUCAAUAAAUGACCAGUGUUGGAAUGUGUGCAUCAAUUAUUGCAUACUGAGCACCAAUUUUAAAUAAAUGUCCCCCAAAAUAUGGGGCAAAAUGAACUCAAAUUAAAGCAAACCUUACAGCUAAACAUUCUUUCUCUUUCUCUAUCAUCCAGUCACCUUACUGAUAAACUGUCAUGGAGGAAAAGAAACAGGAACAGCAGAUGUGUUCUGUCAGUGGAUGUGAUAAACUUUCAAGAGAAAAAGAACAGAUGGAAAAUGAACUUCAUGAUGUCUUUAAGGAGUAGUACUUUUUUUUUUUUUUUUUUUUGAGAC
RNAcentral lists this long non-coding RNA (1207 nucleotides) under Homo sapiens (human). RNAcentral's name for it is "non-protein coding lnc-VIM-3:1". The record is from RNAcentral. Lineage: Eukaryota; Metazoa; Chordata; Mammalia; Primates; Hominidae.